This 5966-nucleotide long non-coding RNA is filed under the name Cucumis sativus (cucumber). RNAcentral describes it as "long non-coding RNA (CSAT_LNC003125)". Lineage: Eukaryota; Viridiplantae; Streptophyta; Magnoliopsida; Cucurbitales; Cucurbitaceae. The record is from RNAcentral.
GGGAUGGGCGUACGGGAGGAAGAAGAAAGUAAAUUUUUUUUUCAUUUUCUUUUCUUUUAUUUAAUAAAAUGUAAAAUAUAUAUAAUAAUAAAAAUAUAAUUAAAUACAUAUAUAUAUUUGAUUAUAUUAAUACAUUUUCAAAUCUUCUUUCUCCCCUUCAACAUAUUUUUAAAAAAAAAAUCUUGAACAAAUCGAAAUAAUUCUCUCAAAAUAAUUUUCCUUCAAGUUUGGGGCGUUACAUUCUUCCCUCCUUAAGAAACUUUCGUCCUCGAAAGUUCUAAUCCUGAAAUAACUCUGGAUAACGAGUCCUCAUCUCUUCCUCUCGCUCCCAUGUCGCCUCUUCAAUUCGAUGGUUCCGCCACAAAACCUUUACUAAUGGAAUGCUUCUAUUACGAAGCGUCUUUACCUCUCUAGCCAGAAUCUCCACAGGUUGUUCUACAUAGCUCAAACGCUCAUCAAUCUCCAAGGGUUCAUAGUCUACUACAUGAGAUGUAUCGGCCAUAUACUUCCUCAACAUCGAAACAUGGAAAACAUUAUGGACGGCAAAGAGUGAUGGUGGUAACGCCAAGCGAUCCGCCACAACGCCAACCCUCUCUAAGACCUCAAAUGGUCCAACAAAACGAGGACUUAACUUCCCUUUCUUCUCAAAAUGCAUAACACCCUUCACAGGUGCUACCUUCAAGAAUACCUUUUCUCCCACAUCGAACUUAAGGUCUUUUCGCCGUACAUCUGCAUAACUCUUCUGUCUACUCUGCGCUGUUUGCAUACGCGUUCUAAUCUUUUGAAUAGCCUCAUUAGUAGACCGAACUAAUUCAGGUCCCAUCAACCUAUGUUCACCAACCUCACCCCAACAAACAGGGGUUCUACAACAUUUGCCAUACAAAGCCUCAAAUGGUGUCAUACCGAUGGUAGCCUGGAAACUGUUGUUAUAAGAAAACUCCAUCAAAUGUAGAUGAGAGUCCCAACUACCUGGAAACUCUAUAACACAAGCUCGUAGCAUAUCCUCUAAAACUUGGUUCAAACGUUCAGUUUGACCAUCAGUCUGUGGAUGAAAGGUUGUACUAAAAUCCAAUCUCGUCCCAUAGCAGUCUGAAGUCCCUUCCAAAACUUGGAAGUAAACCAUGCAUCCCUAUCAGAAACAAUCGAUACAGGCACUCCAUGCAGUCUCACAAUCUAAGUUAAAUACAACUCUGCCCACUUACUAGCAGUAUAAGUGGAUUUCCCUGGUACAAAAUGUGCCGAUUUCGUAAGCCUAUCGACAAUAACCCAAAUCACUGUGUAACCCUUCAGGGUUUUAGGCAAUUAUAUAAUAAAAUCCAUAGAUACAUUCUCCCACUUCCACUCUAAUAUAAUCAAAGGUUGCAACAAACCUGUUGUUUUCUAUCUUGGUGCUUUAACCUACUAGCACACCAAGCACUUACUAACAAGAUUUUCCAUUUCUCUCUUCAUAUUACGCUAGUAACAAACUCUUUUCAAAUCCGGAUACAUUUUUGUGCUACUUGGAUGCAUGAGAAAUGGGAAACUAUGAGUCUCAACCAAUAACCUUGUCUUAAUUGCAUUUUCUGUUGGCACACACAAUUAUCUCUCAAACAUAAGUUCAUCAUCAAAGGAUAUGGAAAACUCCUUAACUUGCCCUACUUCUACUAGGUUAUGCUUCUCAAUCAAAUAAGGAUCAAUGAAUUGAACCACAAGAAUUCUUUGUCUCAAGGUCGGAUGUACUGACAACUGAGCUAACUUUGAGGUGACUUCCCCCACUGAAACUACAAUCUCAGCUCUCUCGUGGUUUUUGUCUAAUGAAACCUGUCUGGUAAUAAGUGCUGUCAAAAUGUGAUACUUUUCUAUGAAGAGCACCAACUUCCACAUUCGCCUUACUUAGAUGGUACAAAAUCUCACAAUCAUAGUCAUUUACUAAUUCAAACCAUCUUUGCUAUCUCAUACUCAACUUCUUUGAGUGAAGAAGUAUUUUAUACUCUUUUGGUUAGAAAAUAUCUAUAUCUUUUCAUCAUACAUAUAGUGCCUUCAAAUCAUUAAUGUAAAAACCACAACUGUCAAUUCCAUAUCAUAAGUUGGACAAUUUUCCUCAUGACUAUUCAACUGACGAGGAGUACAAGCAACUACUUUAACUUAUUGAAUAAGAAUACCUUUUAAACUUUCCUAAAAGCAUCACUAUAAAUUACGGAACAUUCUGAACCAUCAUGUACGGUAAGCACGGGAGUUGUACAAGCUUCUGCUUAAGAUCCUGAACACUAUCCUCAUAGGCUUUGUCCAAACAAACGGAGUCCCUUUUCUUAGUUAACUGAGUCAAAGGAGUAGCUAUACGAGAAAAUUCUUAUACAAACCGUUAGUAAUAACCUGCUGAACCCAAAAAGACUACGAACCUCACUAACUAUGAAAGGUUGAGGCCAACUGGUAACGACUUCAAUCUUUUAUGAGAUCCACAUAAAUGUCAUCUCUAGAUACCACAUGGCUUGGAAAGAUACUUGGCCUCAUCCAAAACUCACAUUUUGAAAACUUUGCAUACAAUUUGUUGACUCGAAGAGCCUCUAAAACCAUGUUAAAUGCUCCUCAUGCGCUGUCUUUAUUUUGGAAUAAAUUAAGAUAUCGUCAAUAGAUACAAUCACGAAAGUGUCUAAGAGAUCGUUAAACACUUUGUUCAUCAAGUCGUAAACAUUGUUUGAGCAUUUGCCAACUCAAAAGACAUCAUAAUGAACUCAUGAUGUCCAUAUCACGAACGAAAAUCUGCCAUAGGAAUGUCACUGUUCUCUAAUCCUCAACAAGUCAUAACCUGAAUGUAAUUCAAUCUUAAAGAACACGGACUUAUUGCAGUUGAUCAAACAAAUCCUCAUUCAUUGGUAAAAGAUAUUUAUUCUUAACCGACACCUUAUUCAACUUUCUACAAUCAAAACAUAAGUGCAUCGACCCAUCUUUCUUCUUAAUAAACAAAAAUUGGUGCACCCCAAGAUAUCAUACUUCGUCGAAUGUAGUCCUUGUCAAACAUUUCUUUCAAUUGCACCUUCAAAUCUUUCAACUCUGUUAGGGCCAUUUUGUAUGAAGCUUUAGAUAUAAGAACGAGUCUAACUCUAUCUCAAUAACAAGACCAAUUUCUGUUUAGCGCGGUAAUCUUAGAAACUCUUCUAGAAAAAUAUCAUAAUACUUUUUCACCACUGAUUCAAAUAACAAAGAAACAUCGACUUCUCUGGUGUCUACCACACUAGUCAAAUACAACAGGUACCCUGGUCAAGCAACUUACUAACCUUCAUAGCUGGGAUAACUUUUAGCGAAACGAUAGUUCCAACCUCUUUGUACUUGAAACUAGCCUCUGGAGAAGGAUUAGAAACUACAUUUUCACUGAACAUUUUAUGUUUACAUGGUUAAACUACAUUCCAAUUUUCAAACUCCAAACUAGUAACUUUUCAUUCACGAGAAACUCAAAAUUGUUUCUUAAAGUCACAUCAAGACAACCAUGCUCAUCUUCCUUGUUUCUUUUCCAAUACCUCCAUUCUAAAACCAUUUAAUGUGUUUUAUAUAAACUUGACCGUGUAUUUAGUCCUCGUUAAAACCACCUACAUAACUUAUUUUUCUUAGAUUUCCAAUCACAAAACAGACAAUUUCGCUAACAACGUCUUACUUUUCUACUACUCGACCACUCCUUUGAACACCUCUACAUGGCAACAUUUUUCCUAAAUUUCACCAUUAAAUCAUAACAUUCAUGUAAUUCUAGUUUAACUUAGGCAAGGUCAUAUACAUAAACCAUACAUAUAAGCAUAAAGCAUACCUGACGAGAGACGAAGGGUCGCGUUAGCCAUAGGGACACAAAAAACAUAGACUUACAUCGUAAGUCAGUCUACAGAACCUAAAACUUAGGCUCUGAUACCAACUGUAACGACCCAACUUUUCUAAGUAAGUCGAGAUCGUUAAUUUUUAACAAAUAAAAGACUUUGAUUAAUAUAAAACAAAACGUAAGCAAUUUAAAAAAAACAUCUUCAAGUCAGGCCUGAUUUUUAAACAUUCAAGAAAACAUAAAAUAAUACUAUUUACAACAAACGUUUGUAAACUAAAUUUCAAUCCAUUUUAAACCUCACAAGAACCCAUAAGCGGAAGCAAAAACACGUUUCCUAUGGCAUCACGUUUCCUUCUUGCCCCUCGCCUGUUUGCCGCCUUUAUUACCUUUGCCUGAAAAUUAAACAUAAGAAGGGUGAGUAUUUUAAAUACUCAGUAAGAGACCCUCUACUGGUCUCGUCAGGGGAAAAUAAAUUGUUAAAGUUCUAUUGGGACACCCUAUACAGUCGCAGUCUUGUGAUCCCGUAGGAUACACAUCUCAGUCUAACGCCCCGAGGGACGUACAUAUCAGUCUAGUGUUCUGCAGAAACACAUAUCAGUCAAAUGCUCCCGAAGGUGCACAAUAAAUUGGUGAUCCCGUGGGACACCUACAAGGUAAACAUCCCAAUACAAUCUAACAAUUUAUCCCCUCAUUCCAUUCAACCCAUCUUUCAGUUACUUCAAGUCACAAAGUUCUUUCUUUCAACAUCCUAACAGUCAACUUAUUUUACUACAGUCAUAUGUCUGUCAAUAAUAUUCUAAUAGAUCAAUCAAUCCACUAUACAGUCAAUGCACCCCUCAGUUCACCAGCACACAGUCAUACUUUAGCGUAAUCAUACACCCAAUCUAAACGAGAAUCUCAUACAAACACAAUCUACAAUCUCCGUCCUGUCCACAUACACACAUUUAUAUAUAGAUUCCAUGACAAUCACGACAUACAUUCGACGUCAAGUCUACUUCAAUUCAUAUACAUUCAUAUAUAUUUUCAGUCAACCCCAGUAUACAUUCAACACACAUACAGUUCACAUUCACAGUUCACAAUCACAAUUGAGUCCAGUAGAAAAUCCCUUACCUCGAGUUUACGUAAAGUUCUUCAAUCGUACUAAAUCCAAUAAAUUAAAUUCCAAGUAGAAUGAAGCAACAAUUCCAAUGAAGUUCACUUCGAAACUUAAAUAUCCAAGCACAGCUCUCCAAUAUCACCUUAAAAUCAAGCAAUACCCAAAUCAAUUAAUCAAUUUCAAAACUUACGCUAGCCAAGAACAAUACUACUAAAUCCACAAUUCCUCCUUACCAAUGAAAUCACAACAUAGCUUUGACGAUUGACAACAGAACAGAAUCAGCGACAAUCGAAUGAAACUGAUGCGUGCAAAACAGAUAUACACUACAAUAAAGAUGAACGUCGGACCCGCGACUGGAAAACGAGGAGUUACGCAAUAGAUGAGGACUUCACGAUGCACAACUGUUGGAUGCUACACGGCUCGUAUCUGAACGAUAAGCGUCGGCAAAACAAUUGGGACGGGGCUACCGGUGGGGACCCGACGUUGCAGAUCUGGACAACGGCGCGGAGAGACACGGCGGUUACAGGUUCACGCGGCGGCCUUGGCUUCGACGGAGACAGAGGCGAUUAGGAAACGGAAGGGAAAGGAUCGGCGGCUGGGCUGCGGCUGGGCACGAACGGAAGGAGAAGAAGAACGGUGAUGGAGAACGGAAUGGAGGUCGCGGCACUCGGCUUCAGUAGGGGAGACGCGGCGGCCGACGGCUGCUGCGAACGGAAGAGAAGAAGACGGUGGGGUUGUCGCGGCGCACGGGAGGAAGGAGAAGAGGACGGUUGGGGCGGUUGCUGCGCGAACGGAGAGAAGGGGAAGGAGUGUCGCGGCGGUUGCUGGCUGCGAACGGAAGGAGAACGGAAGGGAUGGGCGUACGGGAGGAAGAAGAAAGUAAAUUUUUUUUCAUUUUCUUUUCUUUUAUUUAAUAAAAUGUAAAAUAUAUAUAAUAAUAAAAAUAUAAUUAAAUACAUAUAUAUAUUUAAUUAUAUUAAUACAUUUUCAAAUCUUCUUUCUCCCCUUCAACAUAUUUUAAAAAAAAAAUCUUGAACAAAUCGAAAUAAUUCUCUCAAAAUAAUUUUCCUUCAAGUUUGGGGCGUUACA